RNAcentral lists this transfer RNA (68 nucleotides) under Halocynthia roretzi. RNAcentral describes it as "tRNA-Gln". Lineage: Eukaryota; Metazoa; Chordata; Ascidiacea; Stolidobranchia; Pyuridae. The record is from RNAcentral.
AUAGUUUUAGUUUAUUUUAGAAAAACAUUGGAUUUUGAGUCUACAGAGGGUGUUAAAACCAAACUAUG